Molecule: non-coding RNA, 1257 nt
Organism: Cicer arietinum (chickpea)
Lineage: Eukaryota; Viridiplantae; Streptophyta; Magnoliopsida; Fabales; Fabaceae
Source: RefSeq, a predicted model, not a curated record
GGAAGUUGAAUUAUCCACUAUUCUAAAUUCUUUUUCUCCAUAGAGAUGAUAAUAAAACCUUGUGUAAACUACCCUACCCACAAACCUAUCUCUUACAUUAACUCUCAAUCAUAUCACAAACGUUAACUAAACAUCUUUUUUCAGAAAAGUGUAAAAAGAAAAUAUAAAAUGGGGGUGCAAAAAGCAUGUUGACAAGAGUUCCCGGAGAAAAGUUCGUCGAACUCGUUGUUUCUAGAAAAUUCGCCAACUUUCCCACAUUUCCCAUCUUCCCUUCCGGUAGAUACAAACAUACAAUAUAUAAUACUGCUUACAAUUAUCACAAAGAAAUCACCAACUGUUCUCGAUCGCCGAUUGAAUCCCUAACAUAUCUAUAUCUCAAUCGUUGAUCCUCGUCUUUGUAUAGUAUUAUUGUGGUUCUGAAUCAAUGUCUCCGUACGACGGCGUCGUGAUUGGAAAACUGAAACUGAAGGGAAAACCAUUAAAUGUCAAAGAUGAUGGAAUUAAAAAGAAGAAGAAGAAACAUAACAAGAAUAGUUACCAUGAUCACGUGUCAGAGUUUCAUUCAGGAUGAAGUGAUGCAGACUGCUAGAGAUCCAGAAUAAUGGAUACUCAAUCAAAGGGCAAACAAACAUUCAAAUACGGUCAAUAUUAGGUUCAUGUUGUGUUACGUUUAAGAGUUUUCUUUUGUUUUACUUGAUACAAAUUUGAUUUGGAGGCACUAUAUUGGCUAUGUAAGUUUAGCAAUUGUGAUUAUUUUUGCAUGUGCGUUUGUGGUUGGCUUUAGCAUUGGGGUGAAUGUGAAUGCUAUGAUGGACAGCCUUCAUACGUUGUUUACCGUAGAUCAGUGCUUCAAAAUCAUCUUAAAUUCUAACGAAUAUCAACUAUACUUCUCGAAAUAGUCCUAUUGUACUUUGUGGGUGGGACAAUGACUCGAUCCAUGGAAAAAAAAAUGAAUAUGCCCCUCAAAACUCAACUCGUUGGACCGACAUCAAUAAGUUACUGUCUCAAAUAUAAACACGAGAUAACCGUUAACUUAUACUUCUAAAGAGUGUCAUUAAUCGUCAUUAGUGUGUCGAGUGAUUUUUAAACAUUGGUCAUAACGGACUUGGUCUACCCUAGAAUUUGCUCAGAAUUCAGAGUUCUUGUUAUCUAUGGGUGUUAAGUACAAUGUUGUCAAAUAAGCAGCACCGUAGUGUAGCUGAAUUUUAACGAAGCACUAUUGUUUUGCAAUACACAAUUUAGUACAAUGUUGUCAAA